RNAcentral lists this ribosomal RNA (347 nucleotides) under uncultured bacterium. RNAcentral's name for it is "bacterial SSU rRNA". It matches the Rfam family "Bacterial small subunit ribosomal RNA", at positions 28 to 359 of the family's 1533-position model. The record is from RNAcentral.
GACGAACGCUGGCGGCGUGCCUCAGACAUGCAAGUCGAACGCGAAAGUUUCCUUCGGGAGACAAGUAGAGUGGCACACGGGUGAGUAACACGUAGGUAAUCUACCUUCGGAUGGGGAAUAACAAUCGGAAACGGUUGCUAAUACCGCAUAAUGCAGCGGCACCUAAUGGUGACAGUUGUUAAAGCGGGGGAUCGAAAGACCUCGCGUCUGAAGAGGAGCCUGCGGCGGAUUAGCAGUUGGUAAGGUAAUGGCUUACCAAGGCGACGAUCCGUAACCGGCCUGAGAGGGCGGUCGGUCACACUGACACUGACAUACGGGUCAGACUCCUACGGGAGGCAGCAGUCGGG